CAUUACUGAGUUUACGCUCUAUAACCCUUUGUGAACAUACCUAUAACUGUUGCUUCGGCGGGUAGGGUCUCCGCGACCCUCCCGGCCUCCCGCCUCCGGGCGGGUCGGCGCCCGCCGGAGGAUAACCAAACUCUGAUUUAACGACGUUUCUUCUGAGUGGUACAAGCAAAUAAUCAAAACUUUUAACAACGGAUCUCUUGGUUCUGGCAUCGAUGAAGAACGCAGCGAAAUGCGAUAAGUAAUGUGAAUUGCAGAAUUCAGUGAAUCAUCGAAUCUUUGAACGCACAUUGCGCCCGCCAGCAUUCUGGCGGGCAUGCCUGUUCGAGCGUCAUUUCAACCCUCAAGCUCUGCUUGGUGUUGGGGCCCUACAGCUGAUGUAGGCCCUCAAAGGUAGUGGCGGACCCUCCCGGAGCCUCCUUUGCGUAGUAACUUUACGUCUCGCACUGGGAUCCGGAGGGACUCUUGCCGUAAAACCCCCCAAUUUUCCAAAGGUUGACCUCGGAUCAGGUAGGAAUACCCGCUGAACUUAAGCAUAUCAAU
RNAcentral lists this ribosomal RNA (540 nucleotides) under Colletotrichum gloeosporioides. Its description in RNAcentral is "eukaryotic LSU rRNA". The stretch from base 178 to 331 matches the Rfam family "5.8S ribosomal RNA". Lineage: Eukaryota; Fungi; Ascomycota; Sordariomycetes; Glomerellales; Glomerellaceae. The record is from RNAcentral.